AUUGAACGCUGGCGGCAUGCUUUACACAUGCAAGUCGAACGGCAGCGCGGGAGCAAUCCUGGCGGCGAGUGGCGAACGGGUGAGUAAUAUAUCGGAACGUGCCCAGUAGUGGGGGAUAGCCCGGCGAAAGCCGGAUUAAUACCGCAUGAGACCUGAGGGUGAAAGCGGGGGAUCGCAAGACCUCGCGCUAUUGGAGCGGCCGAUAUCAGAUUAGCUAGUUGGUGGGGUAAAGGCCUACCAAGGCAACGAUCUGUAGUUGGUCUGAGAGGACGACCAGCCACACUGGGACUGAGACACGGCCCAGACUCCUACGGGAGGCAGCAGUAGGGAAUAUUGGACAAUGGGGGCAACCCUGAUCCAGCCAUGCCGCGUGAGUGAAGAAGGCCCUCGGGUUGUAAAGCUCUUUUGUCCGGAAAGAAAGCAUCUGGUUAAUACCCGGGUGUUCUGACGGUACCGGAAGAAUAAGCACCGGCUAACUUCGUGCCAGCAGCCGCGGU
Molecule: ribosomal RNA, 497 nt
Filed under: uncultured bacterium
Lineage: Bacteria
Description: bacterial SSU rRNA
Rfam family: Bacterial small subunit ribosomal RNA
Source: RNAcentral